GGGGACGCGUGGUCUCGACAGGGGGUGGUCUCGCGGAAUUGCAGGCCGGGGUGCCGUCCACCCCGUGAACAAGGCGGCAAAAAAGUAACUGGCGAAAAGCAAGUAGCCCUGGCGGCCUAACACGGCUGCCACGUCCACCCUCACCUCUCCUCGAAGGUAAGGAGUGGGCGCCAUAAGUCGAGGUGCAGCCCGCGCAACGCCGGUAGCGAGGGACCAAGACCACCGGCUGGCUACCCGGGUACUCCGGCCGGCAGGGAGACCGGGGUAGCGAGAAUCAAGCGCCGGACAAGCCUGUAGUAGAUUUCAGCGGGAAGCUCUCUGGACGGGGAGUUCGACUCUCCCCCGUCUCCACCA
Molecule: transfer-messenger RNA, 354 nt
Filed under: Chloroflexota bacterium
Lineage: Bacteria; Bacillati; Chloroflexota
Rfam family: transfer-messenger RNA
About the family: Bacterial tmRNA, also known as 10Sa RNA or SsrA, is named for its dual tRNA and mRNA-like properties. Its role is to liberate the mRNA from a stalled ribosome. To accomplish this part of the tmRNA is used as a reading frame that ends in a translation stop signal.
Source: RNAcentral